Molecule: long non-coding RNA, 374 nt
Organism: Dreissena polymorpha
Lineage: Eukaryota; Metazoa; Mollusca; Bivalvia; Myida; Dreissenidae
Exons: 3
Source: RefSeq, a predicted model, not a curated record
CCUCAAUAUCACUUGUAUCAUCAAAGAUUGCGGAAACUCAUUACAUACGCUGAAUGGAAUGAUUGAGUAUUCAAACGAUACAACAUACCUGUCCGUUGCCAAAGUCAACUGCAUUGAAGGAUAUAGACUGAAGAAGGAACACAACAACAGCGUUACAGAGUAUAUUAACUGCACUGAAUACGGUCUCUGGCAGGUCUCAAAUGGAUGCGAACCUAAAGACUGUGGUCCACCACCAAGUGGCAAUCUAUCAACAGUGAACGCGCCGUUGUGGACGUUCAACUCAUCUGCAUGGUACACGUGUAACCAUGGGUACAGCACACAUAAUGACUCAACUAUUGUUUGUAAUGCAUCCGGGCUCUGGAGUGAUGAAGCAC